Molecule: non-coding RNA, 2880 nt
Organism: Cyanistes caeruleus (blue tit)
Lineage: Eukaryota; Metazoa; Chordata; Aves; Passeriformes; Paridae
Source: RefSeq, a predicted model, not a curated record
GGCUCCAGGCACUCCCUCCACUAUUACAAUGGGCAAUCCCUGCCACCCUGUCCUCAUCAGCUCUUGCCCUUCAGUAUUUUGCCACGCUGCUUUUUCGGCAAGAAAACGAACGUAUUGGACUCAUGGGCUUUCACUCACGAGAUAUCCAAAUUGCAGUCAGGUGUGGUGGGUGGCACAGAAGCACUGCUGCGUCUGCGGCCAGAGCGGGGCCACCAUCCUGUGCUGCAAGGAAGGCUGCAACAGAUGGUUCCACCUGCCCUGUGCCAAGGAGGGCGGCUGUGUUACACAGUACAUUGCCCCAUACAGGUAGCUCCUCUCCCCUUCUGGCCACCCCCAGGGAAGGGCCCAGCAGUUCUCAUUUUUCCCAUCCCUUUGCCCCCAGGUCCUAGUGCCCUGAGCACCGCCCAGAGCAGGACUUGUUUGAUGUGCUUGAGGCGGCAGUCUCAAUUGUAGUUGUAGUAGUAGCUCCAGUUGUAGUAGUAGUGUAGCAGUUGUUGUUAGCAGCCUCAGGACAUUUCUAGAUGUGCUGGGCCUGACCACAGAGAAACAGCUCCUUCCAGCAAAGCUGAACACUGAAUCCACCUGUCCUGUCAAGGAGUUGCCGGCACAGCAACUCCUUGACACUGUCAGGGACAAUCCUGAGACGCAGCCGCUCCCAGCAGUGACGUUGGGCCUCAACUCAGACCUGGCAAAGGAGCACGUAGCAUUAUCUUUUCUUUCUAGUGCGUUUGCUGCCAUUAGGGAAGGUGAGCAAGGUCAAUACAGGCAAAGAUUUGAGAUUUGCAGGUCUCUGGGAAAACCGUGUUAGCUCUUGCUGUUCCUAUUGGCAGAAAAGAAAUCUCUGCUUAAUACAUUGAUUUCUAUGUCCCCGUGUGAGACAGUCAUUAAGUGAGUCAUUAUUAAGUGAGAAGUCAUUUAAUGAUGCAGCUAAUUAAAAAGAACAUUUGUUCCUGCCUUUUAGACUCCAACCACAAAUGUUUCCCCACUGCUUACCUGUCUUGGUUUGAGACAAGUUAGGAGGAAAUAUCCUGAAAGGAGCAUCUCUAAAGAAGGCAGACUUUGGCAUGGCCUCCCCCCACCAAACAAAAGGAAUUUCCUGGAGCAAAGGGAAAAAAACCUGUUUAUUUAACAAGCAGAGUGCACGCAGGCACGGGGGAAAAUGAAUGGAUACUGUUAAGUAAUACACCUUCUGGCUGCAGAGAAAGCUGGCAGAUUUUAGAGUCUUGCUUGGCUCCUCCCAAGGUCCAGAGCUGGGAUUUGGUGUCCUGUGGCCUCCCAUGCCUGGACUGCAGCGUGGGGCUCCCAGUGAUGGUCUGGUAUCUCAAACUGGAGCAAAGCUGAACAGUUACAGAAGGAGCCACAGAAAUUAUCAGAGAAGCUGUAUGCAGUCCUGAGCAACUUCUUGCCUCAGCUGGCAAAACUGAAGCUAGCUACAAGCAAGAAUUUAACUCCCCCUAUCUCUGCUGGGAAAGAAUCAAUGCUGAGAGUGGAGGAGAACCUGUGUUUGAACAGACAGCCAAAAGAACACCCCUGGUUUCCCCCCAUCCCCUGGGCCUAGCAUAAAGGACCCAUGUCUGGGCAUAGAGCAGAUGACAGGGGAGACAGUGUCAUACAGUCAACCUAGACAUUGCCCUUGAAAGGUAACCACUCCUUCAUGGGCCUGGAUACUUUUAGGGAAACAUGAAAAGCAAGGCAGUGCUUAGGGAAGCUGUGUUUUUUCAAUAUAUUUGCUAGAAGGAAAACAUGGACCAAACUAGCAACGUUCCUUUACUGUGGGAAAAACAUCCUCCUGGUUUGGACUACCGAGACAAGGACGGUUGAAACCUCUCCAGUCAGAUGUACACAGAAAACUCCCAAGGAAUUCUGUGGGUUUCCGCUGAGUCAGUGUAAAAGAUGAUGUUUCUCGGGAGCUUAAUACUAAUACUUAAUACUAAAUUUUUAAUACAAAAUGUCAAAGUUAUUAGAUUAUUAGAUGACAGGCGAAUUGCAGUUGGGAGGCAACUGACGUGGUCCCCAGCUUUAUCUCCUGUUCCCAACAGUGAUCAGCACGGGCAUGAAAUCAGGUUCAUCUCAGUUUAUUGCCAAGAGGUCUAGAGGAAAAUGUCGGUGCACCAAGAGCAGGUUUGGAAUCUGUGCAGUGCAAGAGACUCUGCACAAGCUCUCUGGGCAACCGACUGCCAGGGGCAGGAGCCCUGGGGUGGCCGUGCCUGAACAGCACCUUUGUGCCUACAGUGCCACCCUCGAUGGCUGCCCUGGAGCCUGGGAUUGGACCCUGCACUUGCUGCAGGAGUCUCUGGCCUGGUUCCGUGCUGACCAAAGGCUUGGAACCAUGUCAGAACCUCGGUUGCCAAGGGGGUGGCCUCAAGUGGCUACCGGGCAUGUGAGGCCAUGGCUGCGUGAAUCUUGGGAGCAAGAUGCUGAUGUCAGAGUGGCCAUUGUGACGCGUGCGACCAAAGCCCCAAAAGGGAAGGCUGGGCUCAGGCCGUGUGUCAGUGCGACCUGGCAACGGGAGGAGAAGAAUCAGCGCAGGAAUAUCCAGAGGAGACGGCGGUGUUCCUCAGCGCGACGACGGGAGCAGAAGGCGGACAGGAGCAGGGCUCACGCAGGGCUGACCAGGGAGUAGCACCCUCGUAGCUCUGGGCCUGUUCUCCAAACUCCCAUCACUUUUCUUCCUCCCACAGAGAGAGGACCAGCACCUGGCGGAGACAGCGGCGUUCCUGGACAGGGACUCAGCGCUGACAGCCGCCAUGUGCGACAGGGAGCAGGAGGGCUCUGAUGGCAGAGAGCAAGGUGAGGGCAAAGCAGCCCCUCUCACAGCCUGGCCCAGGGGCUGUCGGGGUGGCCAGCGUGGGGCCCAGAGCAGAGGCCAAAGGAGGCAGG